Molecule: ribosomal RNA, 253 nt
Filed under: uncultured bacterium
Lineage: Bacteria
Description: partial 16S ribosomal RNA
Rfam family: Bacterial small subunit ribosomal RNA
Source: RNAcentral
UACGUAGGGGGCAAGCGUUAUUCGGAAUUAUUGGGCGUAAAGGGCGCGUAGGCGGCUUUUCAAGUGACGGGUGAAAUCCCUCGGCUUAACCGAGGAACUGCCUGUCAGACUGGAAGGCUUGAGACCGGGAGAGGUGAGUGGAAUUCCCAGUGUAGCGGUGAAAUGCGUAGAUAUUGGGAGGAACACCAGUGGCGAAGGCGGCUCACUGGACCGGAACUGACGCUGAGGCGCGAAAGCGUGGGGAGCAAACAGG